AUUGAACGCUGGCGGUAGGCCUAACACAUGCAAGUCGAACGGCAGCACAGUAAGAGCUUGCUCUUACGGGUGGCGAGUGGCGGACGGGUGAGGAAUACAUCGGAAUCUACUUUUUCGUGGGGGAUAACGUAGGGAAACUUACGCUAAUACCGCAUACGACCUACGGGUGAAAGCAUGGGAUCUUCGGACCUUGCGCGAUUGAAUGAGCCGAUGUCGGAUUAGCUAGUUGGCGGGGUAAAGGCCCACCAAGGCGACGAUCCGUAGCUGGUCUGAGAGGAUGAUCAGCCACACUGGAACUGAGACACGGUCCAGACUCCUACGGGAGGCAGCAGUGGGGAAUAUUGGACAAUGGGCGAAAGCCUGAUCCAGCCAUACCGCGUGGGUGAAGAAGGCCUUCGGGUUGUAAAGCCCUUUUGUUGGGAAAGAAAAGCAGCAGGUUAAUACCCCGCUGUUCUGACGGUACCCAAAGAAUAAGCACCGGCUAACUUCGUG
This 492-nucleotide ribosomal RNA is filed under the name uncultured bacterium. RNAcentral's name for it is "partial 16S ribosomal RNA". It matches the Rfam family "Bacterial small subunit ribosomal RNA", at positions 30 to 507 of the family's 1533-position model. The record is from RNAcentral.